AAAUUCUUUAUAAAUAGUUUCUAUAAACUUCAUUUGCUGAUAAAGGCCAAGUGGCUUUGCCUCCCUCUUCAUCAAUGUCUAUUCGGGAAAAUUGUUUCUACAUGUUUAUCCCAGCCUUGGCAUUUCAUCAAUAUUUGUUCAUAACAUGACAGUGAUCAUGAGGAUGCCCGAUAGCUUUAGGUUGGAACAUUAAUCUGUUCUCGUCUAAAGCAACUUCUUCCAACUGAGAUGAUCGCAAGAUUGCAUGACUCAUCUAUAUAAUUCUUUAGUAUAGUUGCCGCAAAUGAAAAGAAAAGCACCAAUUUGACCAUUCAACUAAAAGUUCACUUACUGGGAGAGAGAGACAGAUCUCAGUCUGGAUUACUACUGCAUAUUAAAGGAGAGAAAGAAGAAAGAAAGCAGAGGAACCCAUCGUUGGCACCAAACACAGAGAGAAGGCUUCCAGGCUUCCCUCAGUGACGGUUCCUGCAGUAGCGGUCGUUUUGGCAUCCGCGAGUGUAGGGAUUUCCACGCAUACUGGCUUGAACCGGCACUCUGUUCGCAUGCAAAGCUCUAUAACUUAUGGUGCCGGUCAGGAGAAUCCUCCUCCCGAUCUCAGAAUUCAUAGCCCACUCCUCCUCCACUCCAUCCCAGCUCCCCAUGGAACCAUUGCAAGCCUGGUGACCGGUUACCACAGCUCUGGCUCCAGCACAAGAGAUGAGAACAAGGAGUGCAACACAAACGAAACGAGCUUUCCCCAUUUCCACUCCCACUCCUUCCUGCUCUUCCUAACAAUACAAUGAACUAGCUGCUUUCAUCUCUACUGUUUACAUCCCUUUAUCCAAGAGCAAUGAAAGCGGCGUAUAACCGAACAAAAAAAGAAGAUUUUAGCCAUCCGUGACGAGAUAUACCCUACAACUCCUGCAGUCAAAUGGAACCAUCCACCAUCCGUCACAAGUUUAGACCCACAAUUGCUGGAAUGAUUAGGACUCCAACAAUUAUUGCCUCUCCGUGGGACAUGUUGAGUGCUUGAUUUCACAAGUAUGGGCAGUAAAUCGUACUGAGAGACGAUGAAACCAGAAAAUAAUUUUUGAAGACUUGUUACUGCUUGCUGCAUCGUGAAUCUAAUUUUCUUUUUUAAAAUGAAAAUAACAUCAGAUUUCAAGGCAGCAAGAGGCAAAGCGUCUCGCAGGCAUCAUGUUUCAAAAGGCCAUCGAUCGUUCUCCCACAAUUUUCUUUCGCUUUUUGGUUCUAUAAAUUCCACUCAUGACAAGCAAAUUAGAAUCCAACUACAAAUUUUUGCCUAAAGUAAUAUAACAAGAUGCAACAAUAAAACAUGGAACUCUGUUCGGCAUCUUUAGAUGGUGUUUCUUCUGCAGGGUUUGUAACCUUUGGCAAAACGUUUAGAGCAUGCAUGGGCUUCCUGCGUUUCUAUCAAAACGUGAAAGCAUCACUUUGAUUCAAGGGAAGUGUGAUGUACGUUCUACUUUAUCGUAAAUAAACAUAAAGAUGGAAGGGGAAGGGACAAGUAGAAAGUAAAGUUAAUAUGCAAAAAAUGAUUUCACGUUAGAGGCGAACAAUAAGUUAACUCUAUGUGAAAACAAUAGGUUAGUUUCAAUGAAAUAAUAGCGAGUAGGCAAUCUAAAACAACGAAAAAGCUCUCAACAAGAGAUGCGAAAAGAUUGGCUCUAUCUGUGUAAUUUUUGCUUCAAGCAUGAUGGUAACAGUUAUAAGAUAAAUUAAAGAAAUGAAAGAUGUAAAUUUGGUGGUAUUUUAAAAGAACUUGUGGCAGCUCUUGUCACCCUGCCACAAGUGAACAUCCUUUAAAUUUGCACCGGCUUAAGAAAGCAGGAGGACUUGUAAUGAGCAAAAAGCAUUGACGAAUGGACGUGCAUGGACAGAGAUAUAUGACAAGAAAAAUAAUAUUCACAAAUUUCAAGAAGCCGCCAAGAUUUUUGUUAUAAGAGAACAAGAGUAAUUUAAGUUUUGAAUCCAAUCAAAUGGCCAAAAAGUAUAGCUCGAUGAAGUUGAUGAGAAAAUGUACCUCAAAAUUCGAAAUGACUGCAAAUUGAAUUUGGCUCAAGUUUGCUUGAAAAAGUCUGUGCCAACUGAAUGGGGCUGACCCCUAGCAUCUAGGAGUCGACUCAAGAAAAUCUGUGCCAACUGAAUGGGGCCGACCCCUAGCAUCUAGGAGUCGACUCAUGUGAAGCUUGAGUCGACCCCAGGGAUGAGAAGGUCGACUCGCUAUAUGCCACAGUGAAGAAACAGAUAGUUAUUUUUGGGGUUGCUUGUAUGAGUCGACUCCAGGUUGAAGAAGUCGACUCUCUCAGGAAGACAGAGCGUGCCAGUUUUCGGUGCUGAUACUUGGAGUUGACCCGAGGAUGUUCGAGUUGACUCGAACUUAUCAGGAGUCGACCCCUGAAAGUGAAGAGUCGACUCCUGAUCACGGGAUUGAUUCAAACGGUGGCAAGAUGGGCUUUUGACUUAGGAUUUCGUUAGGGAAGUCUCCUUAUGUUUUGGAAAUCUAAAAAUAGGGUUCUUUUGUGAACCCUAGGAGCGGCAGACAGUUUCUUUUUGAGUCCUAUCUCUCUUGUAAACCCUAGAAGGUUUAGAUUUUUCUUGUAAGCCCUAGUUGUGCAAUCUCCAACGGAGAAGAGAGAUCGUUAUAACCCUUGCUGAAUAUAUUGAAUUUGUGUGUGUGGCCUCCGUGGACGUAACCUGUAUUGGGGUGAACCAUGUAAAAUUGUUGUCUUUGUGAUUGUUUGAUUUUAUUCUCUACUACUUCUUCUUGAUUCGUCUUUCCGCAGUUUAGAUCCAGAAAAGGAAAUAGUACGAUCAAAGGGUAAGUGCUUUUAUCCGCAACAACUGGUAUCAUAGCUACGUUCCCUGUGUUUCAAUGGCUGACGAAGGAAGAUUGAGGAUAGAGAAAUUCAAUGGACAGAACUUUGGUGUGUGGAAAAUGCAGAUGGAGGAUUACUUGCUCUCAAAGGAUCUGGAUCUACCACUGGGUGGAGAAGAAGCGAAGCCGACAGACAUGCCGUCGGAGAAGUGGGAGCGUCUUGAUAAGAAGGCACUCGCCGCUAUCCGUUUGUCCUUGGCAUCGGAGAUUCUUGCCAAUAUAUCCAAAGUGAAGACUGCAAAAGAUUUGAUGGACACACUGGCUUCCAUGUAUGAUGAGCCAACAGGAGCAAACAAGGUAUUCCUGAUUCGACGAUUAUUCACUUUGAAGAUGAGAGACAGUGGGAGUGUUCAUUCACAUCUGAGUGAAUUCGAUACCCUAUGUGCCCAAUUGGAAUCUAUGAAGAUCACGUUCACUGAUGAGGUGAAGGCGUGGGCUCUUCUAAGUCAGAUGCCUGAAAGUUGGGAAGGCUUCAUCAUGGCUGUUAGUAAUUCUUCGGGAAAGACUGCAGCAAGGUUUGAUAAAGUGGUAGCUCUUAUUUUGAGUGAAGAAGCUCGAAGAAAAACUUUGGAUCCAUCAGCGAGUUCAUUUAGGAAUGCGCAGGCUUUUGAAGAACGUGAAAGGACUUCAAAAAAGGGAUACAGAAAUAGGGGUGGACGAUCCAAGUCUAGAAACAAGUCUAGACCUCUUGGAAAGUGCUGGAAUUGUGGGCAGAAGGGUCACUUGAGAAAAGACUGCAAAGUGCCGAAGAACAACGGUAGUUUUGACACUAAAGCAAGUGUUAAUCUAGCCGAAACUGCAAGUGAAGACGAUGCCCUGAUACUUUUCGGUGAUGUUCAUCCGGAGUCGUGGAUAGUCGACUCAAGUGCCUCGUCCCACGCUACUGGGAACAAGGCAAUCAUCUCAAACUAUGUUGCAGGUGAUCACGAUAAGGUGUAUCUUGGUGAUGGAAACAGUUGCAACAUCGUAGGAAAGAGAGAUGCUCAGAUAAAGACAUCAAGUAGGAUGACUUAACUCUGAGAGAUGUGCGACAUGUACCCAAACUGGCUUGAAAUCUGAUUUCGGUAAGUCAGUUGUCGGAUUUGGAAUUUGUGACCACCUUCAAUGAUGAUGCUUGGAAGAUCACUAAGGGAGCAUUGGUAAUCGCUCGAGGUGCAAGGUCGGGAACGCUAUACAUAACCGCUGAUACUGAUUCCACCGUCAGUGCUGAAACUUGUGGAUUUGGAAUUCUGUGAAGAUUGUGUACUGUCAAAGUAGAAGAAGGUCAGUUUUUCAAAAGGAGGUAGUACCAAGAAAAAUUUUAAGUUGGAACUCGUACAUACUGACGUGUGGGGGCCAACUCAAGCAGCUUCUCAUGGAGGAGCAAGGUAUUAUGUCACGUUCAUCGAUGACGCUACCUGAUAGCUAUGGGUCUACAUCUUGAAGCACAAAUUCGAUAUAUUUGAGAAGUUCAAGAGGUGGAAGGCUAUGGUGGAGAAUGAGACAGGUUAGAGAUUGAAGUGUCUCAAGUCUGACAAUGGGGGCGAAUACUGCAGUGAUAAGUUUGAGGCUUAUUGUGCCUCAGCUGGAAUUCGAAGACUGAAGACGGUUCCAGGAAUGCCAUAGCAAAAUGCUUUUGCAGAACGCAUGAACUGCAUCAUCAACGAGCGGACACGGUGCAUGAAGCUUCAUGCGGGGUUGCCGAAGAUUUUUUGGGCGGAAGCGGUCAGUACAGCAGUGUAUCUGAUCAACAGAGGGCCUGUGAUUGUAUUGGAGCUUGGACUGCUAGAGGAAGUAUGGACUGCGAAAGAGGUGAAAUUAUCUCACUUGCGUACUUUUGGUUGCAUCUCUUACGUGCUUCAUACUGUAGAUAAUCGAACCAAGAUGGAUGCAAAGUCAAAGAAGUGCACAUUCAUUAGGUACGGUGGUGAUGACUUUGGAUACCGGUUCUAGUAUGCGACAGAUCGAAAAGUCAUCAAGAGCAGAAAAGCUGUAAAAUCGAAAUACGCAGAGCUGGAUAAUGAAAUAAUAUCUCGAGACGAUGAAGAAGUUACUGAGCCAGUGGGAGAAGUACAGCAAGAAGAAGAACCGCCAGCUGAAGGCGUCUGUUUCGCUUUGGGUUCGGGGCAUAACAGAUUUAGUGGCAUCAAAGCUGGUAUGCCUAGGGAAUAAGCAUUGAACAUUGAUCAAUAGUAAACCCCCAAUGAUUGUCCUCUCAUUGCUUUUAAAAGAACUCUGAGGAACUUUUUUUUUUCUGCUCCUCUUUUUCGUUUUCUUUUAACUUAUUUCUUGUCAUUUUUUGACCCACUAAUUUAAGUCACAAACUGGUGGGUGGUGACUUUUUCUUUAAUAUUCCGUCGGUAGCCUGCUAUGAGUGGAUUAUUCCAGGGACUUAUCUAGCCAUAAUUUCCCGAAACCAAUUUGCACUUAAUUGUUAGAGCUAAACUUUCUUAAGUCGGUCAAUUAUUAUUUGUUAUCAUAAUUAUUAUGUGGUCGAAAAGACACAUUUUUUUCAGAACCGAUGAUUAUUUAGUAUACCUAAUUUUGUAAAUUGUAUAAGAUUUCUAUUUCAUUAAUCCUGAGGAAAAAUUUGUCUGUGUGGCAGCCGAAGCCAAUCUGCUCAACCAUUUUUGCUAUGAAGAGGCUAGAUAAUAAUGUUCUGUUGCGCAAUAAAAGUUAAUUUUAAAUGGCCACAAAUUUCUGAAUGUAUUUUAAACUUUUAAUAGAGCAUUUACGAAGGUAGCCAGGCAAGUUAAUGCUUUUAAAUUCUGGCAUAAGAACUUUUUUUUGGGCAUGCUAUUUGUUUGAAGCCAUGUAGAUAAGUAUCAGCAAGUCACCAGUUACAUGGUCCACCAAAGUUCCCCAAAGUAGAUUCUGAGAAGCCCAUCUAAUCUAAAUUGUUGGAAGACCAUGCAAACAAAUUGCAUUAAUAACUCUGAAGGUGCCUGGCUUCCGAAAUAUAUUUUUUAAUAAAAUUGAAUUUCGAGUUUUGUUUCAUUUUACUUAUUUUAUGUAUAUCUUCUCCUAAAUAUACAUCUUGUGGGCAUUUUUUUUCCAGAGCGGCUAUGUUUUAAGAGUGAAGAGGUUUGAUUUCUAUAUGCUCCCAUUUGAAGCAGAGAGUUGCAACAUUGCAAGAGGUUCAACAAAUUCCAUUAUCCAUCUUUUGUAGCAAUCCGUAAAUCAGGGAGCCUCUUAUUCAAGCUUAGAAGCUCCAUAAACUGGUUAUUUAAAAAAAAAAUAAGAUAUAUAAAUAAAUCUAUCUUAUCUUCUAAGUUUAAGUUUUUGGGACAAGUGAUGAUUUUAAAAUGGUAUCAAAACAGAAGUGUUAGGCUCACCCAUUAAUAAGGCUGCAAAUGGGUCGGGUCGACCCGUGACCCGACCCGACCUGCUUAGACCCGACGGGUCGACCCGACCCGACCCGACCUGCUUAGAUCCGACCCGAUCCAAAUUUUAGGAAUCGCGGGUCCAGGUCGGAUCCUAAAAUUGGAUCCGAAUUAUUUUCUGUGUCAGGUUUGAAUUUACCGAAAGGAUCCGACCCGAUCCGAACGAAUCCGAAGAGAAAGAGAGAGAGAGGAAAACCAAAAAAAGGCCUCUUCUUUUUCUUUUUCUUUUUUGUGGGUGGGUGUGGUACUAUUGGUCGUUUUUAAGUGAAUUUAUGGCGGGUUUUCAAGGCAAACAGGAAGAAGAUAUUGGUUUCUUAGGAGCUUGUUAGCUUGCUCCCAUGGCCUUAUUAUUCAAGGGAUGGGAAAUGCCAGCCAAUGAGGAGGAAAAGCUUUGUAUCAAAAAAAAAAAGAAAAAAAAAAGAAAGGGGGAGGAAAAGCCCUAAGGGCAGUAGGGUUCAAGCGUGGAAGGAUAGUAACAAGCAUGGGUUCACAGAAUCCAAAGGAACCUCGGCCCGUCAGGAUUCUCUCACGAUCUAUUACACUGUUGAUACCUCUGGUGUCUCGGUAGCUGGCUUUUUUUUUUAUUUUCCUUCUGUUUUUUGGUUUUUGUUUCUUUUAACUUUUGAAGGGUGAAAGUGAGGGAACGCUGAACUAAAUAUGGAUCAUGUGCCAGUUUUCUGCAAUGGAAUUGGAUUUUGGAAGCAGGUCUGGGAUUUUUUUUGUCCUCCUGAGAGGGGAGCAGGGAGACACCAAGUUCCGUCCAAUCAGUCAUAUAGAGACAAAUUAGUGUGAUAUGAAAUUUGUCUUGUAGACCGACUUUGUUAGUACGUAAUGGGUCAGCUGUUCUGACUGGAGGUCAAUUGCAAGUCUUUUAAGUCAUGGGUCACCCAGCACCUCAUAAUUAUGACCAAAUUAGAUUUGUUCAAAUUUUUUCCGAAAAGCACCAAAAAAAAAGUAGUAACAUCUGAUCCUCCGGAUUCGACUCGGAUCCGAUCCCGAUCCAGACCCGACACAGAUUCGGACCCGACACAGAUCCGGACCCGACUCGGAUUCGACCCGAUCUUUAACCGGGUUGGGUCUGGAUCCAAAAUUAGAAUCCGACAAAAAAUCGGGUCGGAUCGGAAUCACUCAGAACCCGAUCCGAUCCGACUCAUUUGCAUCCCUAUCUUUUAAAGAAAAGUCUGGCCCACAUGUAACAAGAAGUGUAAGAAAAAAUAUAAUAUAUAAAUGAAAUCGCUUAAACUUUUGAGGUUAGUGGUAAUUUUAACAGAUUAUUUAGACAAUCCAUCACACUGGUCAUUUCAAUGCCUCUCCGAUAUUCUGCAGGGAGGCGACAUGGCUCAUUGUAUGUGAGAUCUCCUUUAUAGAACAGUUAUUUGGAACUCGCGCAUCCAUUCUGGUGGGAAAUUGUUUGACUGACCCAUCCAUUUGCUAUAUAUGCCCAAAUGGAGUGUCAAUUCUUUUUUCUAGCCAACUGCUGAUUGUUAUAAAGUAAUGGGUCUCCCUACUCCGGAAAAAAAAAAACAAUGGAUCUCUCCAUCUUUCCAGCUUAGAUGAGGUAGGAUGGUUAUUAGCUCAUCGUGGUCUCAACAUAUAAAGUAAUGGGUCGGCUGGUUGGCCUACUGUGCACAAGUGCUCUGGAAAACGACUAUGGUUGCUGUCUAUUGGAGAAAAUUUUAAGAAAAUCAAGUUCUAUUUAUUGUGUCUUCCAGAAAAUUUUAUCAACCUUCUUUAGUUAGAAGCAUUUGUGUUCAAAGAAGCUACUUGACCCUCAUCUCAAAUUUGGAAAUAACCUUUUAGAGCAUUGGCACCAUAUGUUGAGAGAUGAUGAUCUAUCUUUUUGGAAAAAUGCUAACUUACAUCAAGAUGCAGAGCUUAUAUAGUUGCACAUUGAAGAUACAGAAAUCCUUCAAAUCUUUUAUGAGAUUGUUCAACUUGUUGAAUAGUUUAACAAGCCUACUUACAGACUACUACUUUUUGUAAAAGCUUUCUAUUAUUUUUUUUAUAUUUUUUUUUCUUGCAAAUCCUUUAUAAAUAGUUUCAAUAAACUUCAUUUUGCUAAUAAAGGCCAGGUGGCUUUGCCUCCCUCUUCAUCAAUGUCUAUUGGAGAAAAUUGUUUCCACAUGUUUAUCCUAGCCUUGGCAUUUCAUCAAUAUUUGUUCAUAACAUGAGAGUGAUCAUGAGGAUGCCCGAUAGCUUUAGGUUGGAACAUUAAUCUGUUCUCGUCUAAAGCAACUUCUUCCAACUGAGAUGAUCGCAAGAUUGCAUGACUCAUCCAUAUAAUUCUUUAGUAAAGUGGCUGCAAAUGAAAAGAAAAGCACCAAUUUGACCAUUCAACUAAAAAUUCACUUACUGAGAGAGAGAGAGAGAGAGAGAGAUCUCAGUCUCGAUUACUACCAAAUAUUAAAGGAGAGAGAAGAAAGAAAGCAGAGGAACCCGUCGGUGGCAUCAAACACAGAGAGAAGGCUUCCAGACUUCCAUCAAUGCCUGCAGUAGUAUUGAGCUGGGCAUCCGCGAGUGUAGGGAUUUCCACGCUGACUGGUUUGAAGCGCCGCUCUGUCCGGAUCCAAAGCUUUAUAACCUAUGAAGCCGGACGUGGUGGUCUGGAGAAGCCUCCUCCCGAUCUCCGAAUCCAGAGCCCACUCCUCCACUCCAUGGCACCUCCCCAUGGGACCACUGCAAGCCUGGGGACCGAUUACUGCAGCUCUGGUUGCAGCACAAGAAAUGAGAAAAAGGAGUGCAACACACACGAAACGAGCUUUGCCCGUUUCCACUCCCAUUCUUUCCGCUAGCUUUUUAUCAUCUAUACUGCAUCCAUC
This 9059-nucleotide long non-coding RNA is filed under the name Phoenix dactylifera (date palm). Its description in RNAcentral is "long non-coding RNA (PDAC_LNC008337)". Lineage: Eukaryota; Viridiplantae; Streptophyta; Magnoliopsida; Arecales; Arecaceae. The record is from RNAcentral.